This 403-nucleotide ribosomal RNA is filed under the name uncultured bacterium. RNAcentral's name for it is "partial 16S ribosomal RNA". It matches the Rfam family "Bacterial small subunit ribosomal RNA", at positions 30 to 526 of the family's 1533-position model. The record is from RNAcentral.
AUUGAACGCUGGCGGCAGGCCUAACACAUGCAAGUCGAGCGAGCGGCGGACGGGUGAGUAAUGUCUGGGGACUGCCCGAUAGAGGGGGAUAACUACUGGAAACGGUGGCUAAUACCGCAUACUAUCGGAUAACCCAUAUGGGAUUAGCUAGUAGGUGGGGUAAUGGCUCACCUAGGCGACGAUCCCUAGCUGGUCUGAGAGGAUGAUCAGCCACACUGGGACUGAGACACGGCCCAGACUCCUACGGAGGCAGCAGUGGGGAAUAUUGCACAAUGGGCGCAAGCCUGAUGCAGCCAUGCCGCGUGUAUGAAGAAGGCCUUAGGGUUGUAAAGUACUUUCAGCCGGGAGGCGUUACCCGCAGAAGAAGCACCGGCUAACUCCGUGCCAGCAGCCGCGGUAAUUC